RNAcentral lists this long non-coding RNA (629 nucleotides) under Gossypium barbadense (sea-island cotton). Its description in RNAcentral is "long non-coding RNA (GBAR_LNC005695)". Lineage: Eukaryota; Viridiplantae; Streptophyta; Magnoliopsida; Malvales; Malvaceae. The record is from RNAcentral.
UCCACCAUAAUAGCAAGGCCCCCCACCAACGCCAUGAUAGCAUUCCGUGCAACAGCAUCCGAUGGGGGGAUAAGCCAUUGGUGGUGGAGGACAAGGUUCUGGAACCUUUGGUGGUGGUGGUGGUGGUGGUUCUUUUGGUUUCUCAGGUUCCUUAGGCUUUUCGGGUUCUUUCGGCUUUUCGGGUUGUUUCGGUUUCUCGGGUUCUUUGGGUUUUUCGGGUUCUUUCGGCUUUUCGGGUUGUUUAGGUUUCUCGGGUUCUUUGGGUUUUUCGGGUUCUUUUGGUUUUUCUGGUGCUUUAGGCUUUUCGGGUUCUUUUGGUUUUUCUGGUACUUUAGGCUUCUCAGGUUCUUUGGGUUUUUCAGGUUCUUUGGGCUUUUCGGGUUCUUUAGGCUUCUCAGGCUCCUUGGGUUUGGGAGGAGGAGGUGGAGGUUUGAUCUCAAUGCUCUUGAUUGAUCCAGCACCCUUGCAACAUAUCUUGUCCCUCAGCUUCUCAGGAUUGCAGCAUACCACGGUAAUGGUCACGGUGUUGGUUUUCUCAUCGUAUAUCUGGUCUCGUAUUUCUCUUGUUCGCAAAAACCCAUCAUCAAAAAAUUAUCAACUUAAACCAGUUCACACUUCACUGUCUUCAG